RNAcentral lists this ribosomal RNA (292 nucleotides) under uncultured bacterium. RNAcentral's name for it is "partial 16S ribosomal RNA". It matches the Rfam family "Bacterial small subunit ribosomal RNA", at positions 505 to 796 of the family's 1533-position model. The record is from RNAcentral.
GUGCCAGCCGCCGCGGUAAUACGAAGGGGGCUAGCGUUACUCGGAAUUACUGGGCGUAAAGGGCGCGUAGGCGGCGCUCCAAGUUAGGCGUGAAAGUCCUGGGCUCAACCUGGGAACUGCGCUUGAUACUGGAGUGCUUGAGGAUGGAAGAGGGUCGUGGAAUUCCCAGUGUAGAGGUGAAAUUCGUAGAUAUUGGGAAGAACACCGGUGGCGAAGGCGGCGACCUGGUCCAUUACUGACGCUGAGGCGCGACAGCGUGGGGAGCAAACAGGAUUAGAAACCCCCGUAGUCC